RNAcentral lists this non-coding RNA (31 nucleotides) under Mus musculus (house mouse). Lineage: Eukaryota; Metazoa; Chordata; Mammalia; Rodentia; Muridae. The record is from RNAcentral. RNAcentral also lists the same sequence under 1 other name.
UUAUUUCACUUAACAUGAUGGUGUCCAGUUC